Molecule: long non-coding RNA, 275 nt
Organism: Asparagus officinalis (garden asparagus)
Lineage: Eukaryota; Viridiplantae; Streptophyta; Magnoliopsida; Asparagales; Asparagaceae
Exons: 3
Source: RefSeq, a predicted model, not a curated record
AGAAAUUUUUGCAGCAAAAAGUGGUAAGCCAACAUAUCUCCUGACCUUGACAUCCCCCAUCAAGAGAGCUGACAAACACUUCCCCUCCUUUGCAAAGAAAAUUAUGGCAACUUGUAAUGAGAAAAGGUGGACUGAUGAAAUGCUCAAGGAAAAUUGACUUCUAAUUUGAGAGCCGUCAGAAACUUCUCCUUGCAUGCGAAGAAAAUUGUGGAAGCUUAUAAUGAGAAUGGAGUCGUGGACACAUUGAUGAAAUACUCACGGAGAAGUAACACUAA